This 394-nucleotide ribosomal RNA is filed under the name uncultured Anaeromyxobacter sp. RNAcentral describes it as "bacterial SSU rRNA". It matches the Rfam family "Bacterial small subunit ribosomal RNA", at positions 67 to 447 of the family's 1533-position model. Lineage: Bacteria; Pseudomonadati; Myxococcota; Myxococcia; Myxococcales; Anaeromyxobacteraceae. The record is from RNAcentral.
CGAGAAAGCCCGCAAGGGUGAGUACAGCGGCGAACGGGUGCGUAACACGUGGGUAAUCUGCCCUGAAGUCCGGAAUAACUCGCCGAAAGGCGUGCUAAUGCCGGAUGAGACCACGGGAGCCUCGGCUCCUGCGGGAAAAGGUGGCCUCUGUAUACAAGCUAUCGCUUCAGGAUGAGCCCGCGGCCCAUCAGCUCGUUGGCGGGGUAAUGGCCCACCAAGGCUACGACGGGUAGCUGGUCUGAGAGGACGAUCAGCCACACUGGAACUGAGACACGGUCCAGACUCCUCCGGGAGGCAGCAGUGGGGAAUCUUGCGCAAUGGGCGAAAGCCUGACGCAGCAACGCCGCGUGUGUGAUGAAGGUCUUCGGAUCGUAAAGCACUGUCGCGAGGGACG